CUCUCUCACACACCUGUGCACUAUGUGUAGCUUAGGGAUGAUUACAAUGUUGGAAACAAUAUUGAAAGCUCUAGCUAUGAUUUUUUAUACACCCAUAUACAAAAGUUAAAGAAUGGAUAAUGUUAUAGUGUGUAAUAGCACAAAUAUAUAUACAACUUUCAGCAACGGAUCUCUUGGCUCUCGCAUCGAUGAAGAACGCAGCGAAAUGCGAUAAGUAAUGUGAAUUGCAGAAUUCAGUGAAUCAUCGAAUCUUUGAACGCACCUUGCGCUCCUUGGUAUUCCGAGGAGCAUGCCUGUUUGAGUGUCAUGAAAUUCUCAACUACCUUUUUAACAUUUUAUGUGUUAAGGGUGAAGUUGGAGUUGGAGGAUAAUUGCUGGCGCAACUGUCUCUAAGGUUGCUUGUUGGCUCCUCUUGAAUAGAUGAGCUUUUCUAAUGGAUCAUAGCUCAGUAACACUAAUGUGAUAAUUAUCUACGUUAGAUGUGAAAGUGGCUCCUAUAGAAAAGAAUAUAAUAUGUCUUGGGG
This 524-nucleotide ribosomal RNA is filed under the name uncultured Pseudotomentella. RNAcentral describes it as "eukaryotic LSU rRNA". The stretch from base 154 to 307 matches the Rfam family "5.8S ribosomal RNA". Lineage: Eukaryota; Fungi; Basidiomycota; Agaricomycetes; Thelephorales; Thelephoraceae. The record is from RNAcentral.